GCCGCCGUAGCUCAGUUGGCUAGAGUGCCUGGUUGUGGCCCAGGAGGUCAUGGGUUCAAGUCCCGUCGGCGGUA
RNAcentral lists this transfer RNA (74 nucleotides) under bacterium. RNAcentral describes it as "tRNA-His". It matches the Rfam family "tRNA". From Rfam's summary of the family: Transfer RNA (tRNA) molecules are approximately 80 nucleotides in length. The record is from RNAcentral. RNAcentral also lists the same sequence under 2 other names.